Molecule: ribosomal RNA, 448 nt
Filed under: Cryptosporidium parvum
Lineage: Eukaryota; Apicomplexa; Conoidasida; Eucoccidiorida; Cryptosporidiidae
Description: partial 18S small subunit ribosomal RNA
Rfam family: Eukaryotic small subunit ribosomal RNA
Source: RNAcentral
GGAGGAACAACUGGGGCACCAACACCCGGGAUUCCACCAGCCCCAACAGCGUAUAAAAAAGUUGCAGCAGUUAAAAAGCUCGUAGGAAAUAAAAAAAAAAAAAAUAAUAAAAAAUUUUUUGAAGAAUAAUAAUAUAAUAUCAACAUUCUUCAUAUUAUUUUUUUUUUUAGUAUAUGAAAUUUUACUUUGAGAAAAUUAGAGUGCUUAAAGCAGGCAUAUGCCUUGAAUACUCCAGCAUGGAAUAAUAUUAAAGAUUUUUAUCUUUUUUAUUGGUUCUAAGAUAAGAAUAAUGAUUAAUAGGGACAGUUGGGGGCAUUUGUAUUUAACAGUCAGGUGAAAUUCUUAGAUUUGUUAAAGACAAACUAAUGCGAAAGCAUUUGCCAAGGAUGUUUUCAUUAAUCAAGAACAAAAGUUAGGGGAUCGUUACAAUCAGAUCCGUCAAUCUACC